GACGAACGCUGGCGGCGUGCCUAACACAUGCAAGUCGAGCGGGGUGCAGCAAUGCACCCAGCGGCGAACGGGUGAGUAACGCGUGGAUAACCUACCCCUAUGCCUGGGAUAACACUUCGAAAGAGGUGCUAAUACCGGAUAAUCCAUAGCCGACAGAAGUCAGUUAUGGCAAAGGCGGUGUAAGCCGUCACAGAGGGAAGGGUCCGCGUCCCAUUAGCUAGUUGGUGAGGUAAGAGCUCACCAAGGCGACGAUGGGUAGCCGGCCUGAGAGGGUGACCGGCCACACUGGGACUGAGACACGGCCCAGACUCCUACGGGAGGCAGCAGUAGGGAAUAUUGCGCAAUGGGCGGAAGCCUGACGCAGCGACGCCGCGUGAGCGAAGAAGGCCUUCGGGUCGUAAAGCUCUGUCCUUGGGGAAGAAGGCGAAAGCUUGACGGUACCCAAGAAGAAAGCCCCGGCUAACUACGUG
This 470-nucleotide ribosomal RNA is filed under the name uncultured bacterium. RNAcentral's name for it is "bacterial SSU rRNA". It matches the Rfam family "Bacterial small subunit ribosomal RNA", at positions 28 to 507 of the family's 1533-position model. The record is from RNAcentral.